RNAcentral lists this long non-coding RNA (4556 nucleotides) under Sus scrofa (pig). RNAcentral's name for it is "lncRNA (ENSSSCG00000060150.1)". The record is from RNAcentral. Lineage: Eukaryota; Metazoa; Chordata; Mammalia; Artiodactyla; Suidae.
UGUGUGUGUGUGUGUAUGAGUGAAUCACUUCUAAACUUGAAAUUAAUACAACAUUGUAAAUUAACUAUACCUCAAUAAAGACAGUAUAAAAGGAAGUGCCUUUCUAAUAUUCUUCCAGAUGAUGGUCUGUUGACCAUGUUUGAAGUUGCCCUGCUCUAGAACUUGGAUGAUCAUGUCUAGGUAAUGAUAACACAGUCUAGGCAUUUCUCUAGAGCUUGAAACUGAUUUUUCAAACUCCCUUCUGGAGGGCUCUCCUGAACAAACCUCCAAGAGUCUCCUGUGUAGACGGCUCUCAGCAUUGCCCUCCUCCUCCAUCUUCUUAUCUUCUGGUGGCUACUAGCAGUGCCUCUUUUAUCCCAGGGAGCCAAGCCUGAGAAUUCAAAGUCCACCUGCUCAAACAUCUCAUCCUUUCAGCUUUUGUUCCAUUGGGUACCAUAUCCAGCAUCUAGUUAAUGACUUUCACAGUCACCCCAUAGCACACACAUCUGUAACUCUUACCUGAACCAAUUAUACUCCCCAAUUCAACUACAACCAUACCAAGCACUCAAAUGCCUUUCUGUCUUUAAAAGUGUUGCUUCCUCAGUCUGUAGCAACUGUUUCCUUCUUUUGCAUCUAUGACGUGGCUACAACUGGUGGGUCAUAGAUGCAUGGAGAGCAGGAUUAUAUUAUUUUAUAGGUGAGGCAAUGAUCAUUUAGAUUAGGGAGACUUAAAAUAACCUAGUUCAGUUUAGUUAGAAUAUUCUUGGGAUAAGUUGGGGUAAAGGUAUAUUUCUUCCUAUGUUUUUCUCAGCUCAGCCCAGCUGCUUCUGAGGUUCAUAUGUCACACACAUUGACUAACUCUAAACCCAAUCCUAACCCUAACAUCCUACUUGGUAACCUUAGUUUUCCUUCUAUGGUACCUUUUGCUGCCCCUUCCCUUCCCCCUUAAAUAAUAAGCUAUUCUCAAUAAUUAUGGUCACCCUAUCUUCCAAGCGAGAAUCUCUGUGUCUAAUAGGAAGUCUAUUUGGGGGACAUUUCUUCAGUUAAUAAGAACCUAGGUCAGAGUACCUAACCUGGAAACUGACCCCUAGAAUCAAGGUAGCUCUAAACAUGCAUGAAUAUUUUAGAUUUUUCACAGAUUUUCCUUUUAGAAUAUGACAGAUUUUUGAAAUGUUUGCCGAAAAUCUUUCAAAAACACAAUACCCAUUUCUGUGCCUUCUUCAACAAAGAUUCAGAACUAAACUUGUCUUUUCUUGAUGAUUCUCAACUGCCAGAAUAAGUAGCACUUUUUUGUUUCAUGCUGUGUUUUUCUGUCUUUUCUCCAGUUUCCAGUUGUGGCUUUAUAGGUGGCUGGCUAGCUUCCUGGAGCAUUCCUGCCUCAACAAAGUGCAGAGUUUAAUCUGCUGGGACUAGCAAAUUAGAUGACUAAGGAUGUCACAACUGUUUGCAGUAUAUGUCAAUAGGCUCAGGGUGAACUGAAGACCCAUCUGUUAAACCAUGACUCAGCAUUUGUACUCUACACAGCCUUUGCAACAUUCCAGAAUGACUCUGUCUUAUUUCCUUUUCUUUUUUCCCUCCUCUCUCUUUCCUCCCUCCCUUCCUUCCUUACUUCCUUCCCGCCCUCCCUCCUUCCUUCUCUUUGCUCUCUCCCAUUCUCUCUCAAUCUCUUUCUCUUUCUGUAAGCUGACUUUGGAUUGCUAUGCUAUGUCUUCUGUUUUCUACAUAGCUGAGUUUUCUGAUGGAAGACUGACCUUCAGAUGAUUAAAACACAAUUACAUUUUUACUCUUUCAUUCACAUAAGUUGUUUUCAUUUCUGAAAAAUAUGUAUAAAGAUGCUCAUUAGAAUUUAUCGCCAUCAUUUAAAAUCUAUAACAUAAAAAUUCUGGGAGGGAAGAAUUUAAAGCUCCCAUUUGAUACAUUGGCCCCAUUUGUAUAUUUUGUUUCUUGCAAAAUGUAAGUUGAAAUUUUAAAUCAUUUUGCAUAAUGAGGAGUUAGAUUGCGUGGUCUAGAAAUGGCCUUUACUCUUGUAGUAUAAAUUGUGUUAAUGGAAAAAGAUUUUGAAUUUAAUUGGGAAAGAGAAAGGAGAGGUAUUAUAAUAUUGGAUUAAAACUGUAGUGUUAACUACCAAUCUCUAUUGCUGUUUACAUUCUAUAUUGACAAACUUAACUUGCUAAGGGCUAAAAAUUGAUUUGUCCAGCCUCAUUCCCAUUAGAGUUAAAGUCAUUAUGUGAAACAGCAGCAACUUUUGCAGUGGAGGAAAAAAAAUGUAUCCGUCCUCACAAUUAACUAGGAAACUGGAAGUUUGAUAUUUCAGUCUAUUGGGUCCUUGUUGCCCAGAAUAUAAUUGGUAAAAAUGUGAUAUUCUGAAAUGGCAACUCCCAAUGACUCAGUUAACCUUUUCUGUGCCCUGGCAGUAAGGUUAGAUCACAUACCCCUUGCACCAGGAAAACUAAGUAUAACUGUAGACUUUCCUUUUUAGUUAAUCAGUUGUUACUUAUCAGCAGAACAAGGUACUGUGGCAUAUGAAGUUAUGAGAAAGAUAGAUUCCCCAUCCAUGAGGACCUGUUCUUUUGCUAGAAAGACAAGAUAAAUGAAUAACACAACUGAUGGAGGUAAGCCUUGUGCAUAAAUCCAGCACACACAGAGUUCUUUCAGGGGUAGAAUUGCAUAGGUAGAUGGUAUGUGAAUAGGAGGUAAAAGAGAUCAGUGUGGGCUGGGGUGGGGAAGACAUUUUCCUGGAGGAAGUAGGGCUCAAUUUUGACCUUGGGCACCUUCUGGGAAAAGGUGGAACACUGAGGCAGAGACCAUUCAUCAGAGUCUUGCCUGAGAUGGGGGUUACCUGGGAUUCAUGAAGCCAGCUAAUUGAUCAAAGGGGGCUGAGACUGGACAAUUGAGCUCUAAUGCAUGUGCUCUCUCUUCUUCCAGUGAGUUGGAGAAAGCCAUCAUAACUUGGCAGAGCUCCAAGAAAUGGAGCACAAACAUACAGUCUCCUGAGGUCUAGGCUCAGAACUAAUAAGGCUUCGUUCCACCACCUUCUGUUGACCAAAGCAAGUCACAAAGCUGGGCUGGAGUCAGAGCAGGAAGGAACCCCAAAGUUAGAGGGCCAUCUGUUUUGAUAGAGGGAGUCCAAUAAUUGAGAUCAAUAGUGCAUUUGAUCAACUAAUUUGACCAUAGAUUGAACCCCUCACUUGAUGAUAGGACAACUGAUUUGUCAAAGUGGCUAAUUUAAGAUUUAGAUAUUUUUUCCAUGGAUCUGUUCAUUGUUUCCCCCUCAUUCACACCUCUUAAUUAUGGGCAGUAUUUGAAGUUUGUCCUAAGCCAUAGCAUAGACAUAUUUACAUAAAACAUGCACCUGUCUCUACUUUUAAAAGUUUAAUUCACUUCUAUUCCACUUGUGCUCUGGACUCAAUUUAAAGAUAGUAGAUAAACAAGUGAAAGCACAUACUUGAAAUUCAUUUUGUAAGAUAUUAACUAUGGAGUAUUCAUUGCAAAGUAUUAACAGCUGGAGUAUGUUCUAAAAAAGUGAUUCUGGACAUUUAAUCUCUCACAUUUUGGCAGUCCAUUCUAAGUCUUCUUACUAAGUUUUUAUGGAUUUCCUUGCCUGAAGAGGUGUUGUUCUCAAGAGGAUGGAAAGAUACUGGAGAAGUUUUCCUGUAUACCUUCAGUCUGGAUAGAAACACACUGAUUAUACAUCUGCAGAUGGCCUGCCAUUCACUUUCCAGCCAUUUUCAAAGUGAAUAUAAAGAUAUCAUUUUAACUUUUUUUUUUCCAUAGCUGGUGCCGUCGCUAUCUAGCCCUACCUUUCCUACUUAAUUUCACUUUAUCUGACCUAGAAUCUGGCUUGGCUGGAGUCAUUCAUGGCCCAUUAACUAUGUUCAUGUUUUUAGCUCUUCCUCUACCUCUCUGCUUUUCCAAAUCCUAUUGUACUCUCAAGGAACUACUCAAAACUGUCCUCGGGGUCUCCUAAGACUGUUUUGGCCCCACCAAUCUUUCCAUUCUUUGAACAGCUAUAUAAGCUAUUAUCUGAACCCAGUGACACCCUUCUGUCUUAAACAGCUGUCUGGCUUUAUUAUGUGUGUGAACUGAUUGGCCUAUGAGUCUGGUGGGUCAAGGCAGGUCAACUGUUUUGACUGCUCAGUUGUAGCUGGAUGCAGUCACAGGAGUAUCAGUUCCAUGAGGCCAGGGAGACCAUUUGCUUUGUUCAUUCCUAUAUUUACUCCCCUUGGCACAUAGAAGAUGCUCAAUCACAUCUAUUGAAUGAAUGAAGCAGCAUGGGCGACUGAUAAAUACUUAAUAAAUUGGUGUUUCAGUGAUAAGAAACAACAAAAAAAUUAACAUUUUGAGUGUAUUAAGAAUCCAGGAGUUCCCAUUGCAGCUCAGUGGUUAACAAAUCCCGCUAGGAACCAUGAGGUUGUGGGUUCAAUUCCUGGCCUUGCUCAGGGGUUAAGGAUCCGGCGUUGACGUGAUCUGUGGUGUAGGUUGCAGAUGUGGCUCAGAUCCCGUGUUGCUGUGGCUCUGGUGUAGACUGGCAGCUAUAGCUCCAAUUAGACUCCUAGCCUGGAAACCUCCAUAUGCCA